This is a long non-coding RNA of Meriones unguiculatus (Mongolian gerbil), 2154 nucleotides long. RefSeq lists it as uncharacterized. The transcript has 3 exons. The record is from RefSeq and is a predicted model, not a curated record. Lineage: Eukaryota; Metazoa; Chordata; Mammalia; Rodentia; Muridae.
UUCUGCUUUGCGUCAUACCUACAGGUCUCUCGGGUCUCCUCUGAGUGCCACCAUCAUGAACAGCUUCUUAAGAAGCCAGCUGCUGCUGCUGGUGGUGGUGGUGCAUACCUUAUCCCAGCACUCAGGUGGCUGUCUGGGUUCGAGGCCAGCCUGGUCUACAGAGCAAGUUCCAGGACAGCCAAGACUACGAAGAGAAACCCUGUCCUGAAAAACUACAAAGAUCAAACAAACAAACAAAAAGAAAGAAAGGUAGGAAGGAAGGAGGGAAGGAAGGAAGGAAGGAAGGAAGGAAGGAAGGAAGGAAGGAAGGAAGGAAGGAAGGGAAGAAGGAAAGUCAAGAGAUUUGAUCGCAGAAGCAGAGCGCCACCUUUCCUCUUCAUGCUUUCUUUUUCAUGCUAUCCCACCUUCAACACCAUCCACCUUCCUGGCAGGUUUCAGAACUAUCUCGGCUGUGGAUUUUCUGUGGCAUGCAUGCUAGGCUGAGGAUGGAGCCCAGCGGAAUAGAGAGAGCUCAUCCAACAUUUGAUCCUCAGCACUGCCAAAAAGAAAGAAGAAAACAAUCGAACAAAAGAACGAUGACAGAACUCGAUUGAAGAGAGCUACACAAGACAGAGUAAGGGGCAUUGGACGUGACUGAUGCUAAAAUUUUAUUUAGGGUCAAUCUGUAGAACCAGAUGCAGCCCUGCCAUGGAACUGAGGGUGAAGAACUUAACGUUCCCUCAGUGAUAAGCAGGUUUCUUUAGCAGCAGCAUUCCUUAUUAGGACUAGGCAGUGAUAAUCCUGAAUUGAAUGUGUAGUUCCCCUGGUCCCCACCCCCGCAUCCCGCCCCAAGUGCCCCAGGACCCUGCCUCCCUCUGAAGGAAGAUUGCUCCUCCCCACUCUCUGCUCGGGAGAACCUUCAUUGUAUCUUCCACUCAAAGGGUGUUUGAUGAAAAGGCUCUGAGUCUCAAAGAAAGGCUCAGUUGUUUGAAAACUACUGGGUUAAUAUAAAGACUAGCGCUGUGAGGUCAAGAUCAAAAGAUCACUGGGUCAGGGUUGCCCUGCCAAGAGGAAGGUAGCUCUAGUGACAGCGACUCGGUACAACGUUAUUAUCACCAACGAAAUGAAAACAAAAGGCCGGAACUACAGCAGUGAUGUAAUGCACACACUGCACCAGCUCAAAGCGACCAGAGUUCUGACUCUGCUUUCCAGCAGCCUGGCUUCUCAACCUGCCCCUGCUGUCGUCAGCUUCCUGGCUUCCUGCAGAGAGUUCAACAGCCUGAGCGCCUACCCUCUUUCCACACACUGUAGGGUCCCUCUGCGUAACCCUGUCCUGGAACUCAUUCUGUAGACCAAGCUGGCCUUGAACCAGAAGUUCCACCUCCCAAAUGCUGAGAGUAAAGGCAGAUGCCACCACCACCCAACUAUAAUCUUCUUUCACUGAAACACUACAGUGACGGGAUCAAUGUGUCAUCACGGUUUCACACGCCUGUUUCCAGGGAGCAGACGGUGGGGCUGCUGCCCUCUAGGCUGAGAUGUGCUGGGACCUCUUUUCUUCCCACACAUAGGUAACAAUCACCUCGCUUGAUUUCUAGCCAUCUCAGCAUCUGGACCAUUCUGCAGCCAUUGCCUGGCCUCCGCGAUGAUGGUGAGCAAGAGGCAGAGUAGCUAGGGAAAUGUGAGCACCUGUGAGAAUGUUGGCACGUGGGAGAGAACAGAGCCAGUCAGGUGAGCCAUGGCUGUCUGCUCCCUCCAUUACAGUUUUCUUUGUUAAAAGAGGCCUGCGCAGACUUCUUAGAGAGGACACAGAGCCACCGAGCAGAGCAGAAUCUUCACAUUGAGACUUACAGAUUUGAGUUCUGUAAUUAAAUUUUAAGUACAAUUUUUAUGUGUAUGAGGGUUUGGUCUGCAUGCAUGUAUGUGUGCCAUGUGAGUGCCUAGUGUCAGAGAAGGCCAGAAGAAAGUGUUAGAUUUGUUGAAACUGGAGUUACACAUAGUUGUAAGCUACAAUAUAGGUGCAGGGAACCAGACCUGUGUCCUUGUCAAAAGCAGCAAGUGCUCUUAACCAGUGUGCCAUCUCUCUAAUCCUCUUUUGUUAUUGUUGUUCUUGUUUUGUUUUUUGGCUUUUAGAUAAAGUCUCACUCUGCAGCUCAGUUGGCUGGGAACUCAUUAUGU